Long non-coding RNA from Apis cerana (Asiatic honeybee), 2253 nucleotides. RefSeq lists it as uncharacterized. The record is from RefSeq and is a predicted model, not a curated record. Lineage: Eukaryota; Metazoa; Arthropoda; Insecta; Hymenoptera; Apidae.
GUUUAUCCAGCCAACUUCAUUCUAAACUGUAUUCGUAUUAUAUAUUUUGACACUUGGCAUUUCACGAUUUAUUUAUAAAAAAAAUUCGUUUGAUUCUGUGUGCGAUUGUAUUUUUCUUGCGUGAUAAUAAAGAUGCAAGACCAAAAGGAACAUUUUCGGUAUAUUUUACUUUUUUAUUAUCAAAAAGAAGAUUAACAAAUUUGAAGUUAAUAUAUUCACCAUAUUGAUGACAUACACUGAUGAAUCAAAUAGAGAGUGGAGACUUGGCAAGAAGUGGUGGGUGGCGACAGUGGGAAGAAGUAGAAGAAAAGGUGAGGAACAGGAAAAUAUUGCACGAGGCAACAGGCGUGAAAUUAUUCGCAGGCCGGAAUAGAUCAGAAACAGAAGGAUUGCGGGACGGUUGCUGGAAAAUAAAGGAAAAUGGUGACCGACCGGCCGUUUAUCGAUUAACAAUAAGGAAUUUUACAAAGGGAUAAUAGGGGAUCGUGAAAGAGAAUUAAAUAUUCCUAUAUACAAGAUGUCCCAGUUCUUUCUCUCUUUGUCAAAACUUUAUCGACGUCUCCAAGUGUGAAUAAGAAGAGGAUAGAGGAUGCAUUCUUAUUUAAAAAUCUAGAAGAAUCUAGUCUAUCAACAGCUACUUAAUCCUUUUUUCAGACCUUUUUUUAUAAUAAAUCUAAAUGCAAUUAAGAGCAAUAUUAAGAUAAAUCAAUCUUCUCGCGCACCUACGUAGAAAAUUACAAAACUUUAAAUGAAGUUCGUCGAGAUCGUUAAAGCUGACUUCCUUUUUUUAUACACCGGAUGUUUUUAUUUACAUAAAGUUAACGAAUAAUAAAUACUAGGAGAUCUAGAAAGUGGAUUAAUGGAAUAUGUAAGAACAUCAUAGACGAAAAGACACGAUGUUUCUUUUGCAAAGUUAGUUUUUACUCACGUUAUGAUCAUUUUAUUUACUUUGCACGUACUAUACUAUAUUACGUUGUUCAAAACUUUCUUUUUUAUUCUCCCUUGUCACAACGCAAUUUUCAUUUUAACUUAAAUAAUUCUAUCAGUUGAAUGUGUCAACCGGAAAAUUCUUAUAAUGAAUUUCGAAACUUUUUCCAUUGUUCAUCGUCCCCUUUUUAAAUAUCGAGUGGCUGCUUUUAACUAUAUCGUGUUAUAAAGUUUCUUUAUCUAUUAUUCGUUUCUUUUUUUUUUCUAUUUCUUUUUUGAACUAAUUCAUUUACACAAAAUUAAUUUAUAUCGCUCGCUUCAAUUUUUUUUUUUUUGAACAAUACAUUUAUUUCGCGUCAAUAGAUGCAAUUUGUUUCAAUAAAUUGCAAUCCAUUGUACACUUUUCACGCGUUACAUCGAACGAUCAUACCUUAAAUAUAUCGAAUAGUAUGAAAAAAUUUUACGAAAAAUUUCAAUAACUGCGAACAAUCGUAACGAACUUAUCGAAUCUGUUACGUAAGAGAGAAAUAAUAAAAUAAUAAAAUAAAAAGUAGAAAAAAAUAAACAGUAACGAUGGGAAAAUGAUUCAUCGUUGAUCGUUAUACGUGAUAUUCGUUUCGCGUAAUCUUAAAAUUGAAGCUCGCGAAAAGUACCUGGCCGGCCACUUCAUUAACACUAUUGAAUCUCUAAAGUUAACUUUAGCUUUACUUCAUUUACUUAGUGAAUCAGUGAAAUUUCCCUCCUAUUUGCCUUUUUUUCUCGAAUCGUUUAUCAUCUUUUCUGAUUCAUUAAUAACGAACGAAAAAAAUAAUAAUCGAACAAACGAGUGGAUGAAUUAUUAUUCAUUUCGCCAUAAAUUCACGUUCAAUUAAAUAACGUUUAAAUUUUUAAGUCCUUUCGACUUUUAAAUUUUUAAGUUCAAAUCGAUGUAAGUCAGAUUGAUUUCUAUCUAUAACAAAAUAAAUAUUAAUUGUACGAAAGGAUUUUAAUUUGUAAAUUAUUUAUAUAUAAAAAUUAAUCAAUAAAUUAAAUAUUAUUUUAACAUAUAACCGCAUUAAAUUUAGAAUUUAAUUAUAUUAAUGUAUAUUAAUAAAUAAUAAUUCGAAUUUUUAAUUAAUUUAUUAAUUGUAAUAAUUUUAUACCAUUUUUAACAUUAUUAGAACGUAAAAUUUUAGGUUAUGUUCAAGAUCGAUAAACGUUGUUGCAUGCUUUAUCUAUAUUUAAAAUUUAAGAAUUUUGAGUCAAAUCAAGAAUAAUAAUCGAAAGAUAAUCUUCAAAAUUUUGAUUCAGUUCUCUCUGAAUAUUUCAUUUCAUUGUCAGAUAGAU